CAGCAGCCGCGGUAAUACCAGCUCUCCGAGUGGUAGGGACGAUUAUUGGGCUUAAAGCGUCCGUAGCCGGCCCGGCAAGUCUUCCGUUAAAUCCAACGAUUCAAUCGUUGGACUGCGGGAGAUACUGUUGGGCUAGGAGGCGGGAGAGGCCGACGGUAUUCUCGGGGUAGGGGUAAAAUCCUAUAAUCCCGGGAAGACCACCAGUGGCGAAGGCGGUCGGCUAGAACGCGCUCGACGGUGAGGGACGAAAGCUGGGGGAGCGAACCGGAUUAGAUACCCGGGUAGUCCCAGCUGUAAACGAUGCGGGCUAGGUGUUGGAGCGGUUACGGGCCGCUUCAGUGCCGCAGGGAAACCAUUAAGCCCGCCGCCUGGGGAGUACGGCCGCAAGGCUGAAACUUAAAGGAAUUGGCGGGGGAGCACCACAAGGGGUGAAGCUUGCGGUUUAAUUGGAGUCAACGCCGGAAAACUUACCGGGGGCGACAGCAGGAUGAAGGCCAGAUUGAAGGUCUUGCUGGACGAGCUGAGAGGAGGUGCAUGGCCGUCGCCAGUUCGUGCCGUGAGGUGUCCUGUUAAGUCAGGCAACGAUCGAGACCCACGCCCCCUGUUGCCACCGGGGAGGUUUCUCCAAGGGGCACUCUGGGGGGACUGCCGUCGAUAAGGCGGAGGAAGGAGUGGGCCACGGCAGGUCAGUAUGCCCCGAAUCCCCCGGGCCACACGCGAGCUGCAAUGGCUGGGACAGUGGGUUCCGACCUCGAAAGGGGGAGGUAAUCCCUAAACCCAGCCGUAGUUGGGAUCGAGGGCUGAAACUCGCCCUCGUGAACAUGGAAUCCCUAGUAAUCGCGCGUCAUCAUCGCGCGGUGAAUACGUCCCCGCUCCUUGCACACACCGCCCG
This 892-nucleotide ribosomal RNA is filed under the name uncultured archaeon. RNAcentral describes it as "bacterial SSU rRNA". It matches the Rfam family "Archaeal small subunit ribosomal RNA", at positions 459 to 1352 of the family's 1478-position model. The record is from RNAcentral.